CCAAAUGUACACAUGAGAUGGGUGUGUUUUAAUACGCAAAUUAUACCUUAAUAAAAUUGAUUUUUUUUAUGAUUGUACAUCAAUGGGGGUUUUCAUUGGAAUAAAAGAAACCGUCUUUGGAGGGUCUUUCAGUUUCUGGGUAUGAAUUUGAACUGGACUGUGGAAUGUUCCGGCAUCACUGGUGAGGUCAGAGAAGCCUGUCUGCUGGUGACAGUUUGAAUCCUAACAGUCAUAACGGUGCAGUGGGCACAGACAGUGCUGCCAAUGUUGCCAAUUCAGUGAAAACGCGGAGGUCUCAAAGCACCGGGGGGGGCUUUGACUUACUCUCUUCUACCUGGGUCAAUCACAGCAGUUCCCUGGGAAGCAAGAUCUGCCUGGCUACGUGGACAAGGGGAUCGAGUCUCCAGCCGCUUCUCCAGGAGCCCCUUGGUGCUGUUGCUGGCCCUGAGAACCAAACGUCCUACUGAAUGGUGCAGGGUCAAAAUGGAAGCGUUGAGGAAAUCCGAGGGAGGCGAGGUGGUGUGAGUUGGGCCGUGGAAAGGGCUUCAGCAGCAAAGAGCUGUAAGCCAAGAGGCGAGAUUCAGAUGAGAAGGACACGCCUGGAAGAGGACAGAUUUUCAUCUGAUUGUACUGAGUACGGACCAAACGGGAGAGGUUGGAGCUCUCUCCAGUCUCCAGGAACGUGGCAGGAACCCUCGCCACUAAGACACACGGAAGGAAUGAGGUCUGAGUACUAAGAAUGUGCAUCCUGACCUCCUCGCACACGCAUUGGCCAUCCAACAGGAAAACUGCAGUGAGUGAGGUCCCCAGCCGUAGCCCCAGGCAAAGGGACAGGUUCACUCAGCCUCAGCCUGGACCUCACUGGCUUUUCACAGGAAUCAGAGUGCCCUCCUGGCCCCCAAGCCAUGUUAUGGCCAAUUGUCGCUGGAAACAAGGCCUCUACCAGCUUCUGGGUGUUCAGAGGCCAAGGAAGGUCCAGUUUUCAUAAAGCCCUGGAUUUCUCUUGGCUUCUCUACACUCAGAGCUUGCGUCUGGAAAAGAAAGCUCAUUCUCUGAUCAGCUACCAUGUGGUUUCUUUGUACAAAUAAACUGCUGAAGGAAUGUGCCCAGCACGUGGCCUUUUGGCCUCCGAGCAGUGUUUAGCCUGGGCUGUCCCUGCCCUCAGAACCACACUCCCCAAGGAUAUUGAGUUCCCUUCUCAUGAAUCUCGCGCUCUCAGGACCCGGCACAGAGGGUCUCUCUGCCUGCGCAGCCUCAGCCCCAGUUCACAUCCUGUCCACUUCUAGCCCAAACACGGCCUCCUGACGCCACAGCUUUGCCUGUUGGCUUGGGUCCCACUCAGCCUGUUCUUCUGUGACCCCUCCCACUCCAGGGGCAUGAGGCGAGGGGGCAGGCUCUGACUUCUGGCUGUCUGCCAGCUGAUCUAUCUUCAAGUAGAAAUCAAGAUGCCAAAGCUCUUCCUAAGCCAGUGUUGCGUGCACAUUUCAAGCCCCAUGCUGCAUCCUGACCACGGUCUUCUCUUUUCC
Equus caballus (horse) is the source of this 1526-nucleotide non-coding RNA. The record is from RefSeq and is a predicted model, not a curated record. Lineage: Eukaryota; Metazoa; Chordata; Mammalia; Perissodactyla; Equidae.